UACGUAGGGUGCGAGCGUUGUCCGGAAUUAUUGGGCGUAAAGAGCUUGUAGGCGGUUUGUCGCGUCUGCUGUGAAAAUCCGGGGCUCAACCCCGGACUUGCAGUGGGUACGGGCAGACUAGAGUGUGGUAGGGGAGACUGGAAUUCCUGGUGUAGCGGUGGAAUGCGCAGAUAUCAGGAAGAACACCAAUGGCGAAGGCAGCUCUCUGGGACGGUACUGACGCUGAGACGCGAAAGCGUGGGGAGCGAACAGG
This 253-nucleotide ribosomal RNA is filed under the name uncultured bacterium. RNAcentral's name for it is "partial 16S ribosomal RNA". It matches the Rfam family "Bacterial small subunit ribosomal RNA", at positions 524 to 776 of the family's 1533-position model. The record is from RNAcentral.